RNAcentral lists this ribosomal RNA (1740 nucleotides) under Triticum aestivum (bread wheat). RNAcentral describes it as "partial small subunit ribosomal RNA". The record is from RNAcentral. Lineage: Eukaryota; Viridiplantae; Streptophyta; Magnoliopsida; Poales; Poaceae.
AUGGCGCUCUCCUCCUACUUGCUCGCCGGCAGCCGAGCAGCCUCCCCUUCCCUCCCCUCCCUCCCCUCACUCCGCCGCCGCGGCUGCCACCGUCCGCCGCCCCUUGCCACAACCCCGCCCCUUGCCACAACCCCGCCCCCACUCCCUUCCACCCAGCGAUGGCGCCGCUCGCUCCGCUUCUGCGCCUCCUCCCCCUCCUCGUCGCCCCCGCCGCCCGUGCCGCCCGAGGACGAGGAGCCCGUGGACUACGAGCUGUCGGAGAGUAGUGGAAAUUGUGACCCUUUAUGCUCCGUUGAUGAAGUUAGCUCACAGUAUUUUGAAGCUAACUACAAGCCAAAGAAUGAUCUUGUUAAAGCUUUAACUAUCCUUGCAACGGCUUUGGCUGGGGCAGCUGCAAUAAACCAUUCCUGGGUCGCUGCUAACCAGGACAUUGCAAUGGUGCUAGUAUUUGCUCUUGGGUACGCAGGUAUCAUUUUUGAGGAAUCACUGGCAUUUAACAAAAGUGGAGUUGGAUUACUGAUGGCUGUUUGUCUAUGGGUUAUCAGAAGUAUCGGGGCUCCCUCGACCGAUGUAGCUGUUCAAGAGUUGAGUCGGAGUACUGCUGAAGUUAGUGAAAUAGUGUUUUUCUUGCUUGGUGCAAUGACCAUUGUGGAGAUUGUUGAUUCACAUCAAGGUUUUAAGCUGGUGACUGACAAUAUAUCUACUAGAAAUCCUAAAACACUUCUCUGGGUGAUUGGCUUUGUAACCUUCUUUUUGAGUUCUGUCUUGGACAACUUGACUUCGACUAUUGUGAUGGUGUCCUUGCUCCGGAAACUAGUACCUCCAUCAGAGUACAGAAAGUUGCUAGGUGCUGUUGUUGUAAUUGCGGCUAAUGCUGGGGGUGCAUGGACACCAAUUGGUGAUGUGACAACCACUAUGUUGUGGAUUCACGGUCAGAUUACGACUUUAAAAAUAAUGCAGGGCUUGUUUGUCCCUUCCGUAGUUUCAUUGAUGGUCCCACUGGCCCUGAUGUCCCUCACCAGUGAAGCAAAUGGAUCGUCUCAGGAAUCUUCAAGUUUGCUGUCAUCAGAGCAAAUGGCUCCUCGAGGACAACUUGUAUUUGCUGUUGGACUUGGAGCCCUAGUGUUUGUUCCAGUGUUUAAAUCUCUCACUGGAUUGCCACCUUUCAUGGGGAUGCUCCUUGGUCUUGGCAUUCUCUGGAUUCUGACAGAUGCGAUACAUUAUGGAGAAUCUGGAAGGCAGAGAUUGAAAGUUCCACAAGCGCUUUCACGGAUUGAUACACAAGGAAUUCUAUUCUUCUUAGGUAUACUGUUGUCGGUUGGCAGCUUGGAAGCAGCAGGGAUUUUGAGGCAGUUGGCGAACUAUCUUGAUGCCAAUAUUCCAAACGCUGACCUCAUUGCAAGUAUCAUUGGUGUAGCAUCAGCAAUUAUAGACAAUGUUCCACUUGUUGCUGCAACCAUGGGGAUGUAUGACCUGACUUCAUUUCCUCAAGAUUCAGAUUUCUGGCAGCUUGUUGCGUUCUGUGCUGGUACGGGUGGUUCGAUGCUUAUCAUCGGCUCUGCAGCAGGAGUGGCUUUUAUGGGAAUGGAAAAGGUGGAUUUCUUUUGGUACCUUCGCAAGGUGAGUGGUUUCGCCCUUGCAGGUUAUGUAGCUGGCAUCAUCACUUACCUAGCUGGUCAGAACAUCCAUCUAUCUCUUCCCACUUCACUGGCGGAGAUCCCGUUUAUCACGGGUUCGUAA